GGAUUGAAGUUGACGAACUUGAUUGGUCAAAGACUUGUUGGAUGUGUGCGAUUCCUCGAAUUGUUGCUCCAAAAAUUCAACCUUGUCUUUAUAUGAUUUGAUCGUUAAUUCCGCUUCAUUAAGCUUCUCUUGGAGGUCCGAAUUAUUCUUCAAGAUUGAAUUCCUUUCCUCCUCAAGAGCCUUAUUCAAAGUCUUUGCGUUGUUGUUUUCCUCCUCAAGAUCCAACAAACGACGUCUCAACUUCUUAUUCAACUUAGCCAUCUUCUUUGAUUCAAUGAGAAGUUGAUUGUACGCUUCCGCUAUGUCGUCGUCGUUUGAUUCCUCCUCACUUUCGCCAUUGUUGCUCGAAGAGUCAUGUGAAGAAAGAGAAAUAUUGGAAUUAGUAGCAAUAGAGGAUAAACA
RNAcentral lists this long non-coding RNA (402 nucleotides) under Ananas comosus (pineapple). RNAcentral's name for it is "long non-coding RNA (ACOM_LNC040609)". The record is from RNAcentral. Lineage: Eukaryota; Viridiplantae; Streptophyta; Magnoliopsida; Poales; Bromeliaceae.